This 292-nucleotide ribosomal RNA is filed under the name uncultured bacterium. RNAcentral's name for it is "partial 16S ribosomal RNA". It matches the Rfam family "Bacterial small subunit ribosomal RNA", at positions 505 to 796 of the family's 1533-position model. The record is from RNAcentral.
GUGCCAGCAGCCGCGGUAAUACGGAGGGAGCUAGCGUUGUUCGGAAUUACUGGGCGUAAAGCGCACGUAGGCGGCUUUCUAAGUCAGGGGUGAAAUCCCGGGGCUCAACCCCGGAACUGCCCUUGAAACUGGAUGGCUAGAAUCCUGGAGAGGCGAGUGGAAUUCCGAGUGUAGAGGUGAAAUUCGUAGAUAUUCGGAAGAACACCAGUGGCGAAGGCGACUCGCUGGACAGGUAUUGACGCUGAGGUACGAAAGCGUGGGGAGCAAACAGGAUUAGAUACCCGGGUAGUCC